GUUGAUAUACUUUAUAGGAAACCUUCUAUAGGCGAUUGCCCGGGUUUUUUCGCCAAGAUUUGGAAUAUUUCCCCCCACGAUGAGGAUUUUUUAGUGAACCUCGGGGCGGGAAGCGGCUCUCAAGUGUUUGCUUGAGAGUUUGAUGACCGUUCUGCCCGGGGGUUUUCCGAUGUUUAGAGGAGGGUAAAACAGGCUGAGUGGU
Small nucleolar RNA from Penaeus monodon (black tiger shrimp), 202 nucleotides. RefSeq annotates it as small nucleolar RNA U3. The record is from RefSeq and is a predicted model, not a curated record. Lineage: Eukaryota; Metazoa; Arthropoda; Malacostraca; Decapoda; Penaeidae. The transcript has a single exon.